GCUGGGCGUGGUGGCGGGUGCCUGUAGUCCCAGCUACUUAGGAGGCUGAGGCGGGAGAAUUGCUUGAACCCAGGAGGCGGAGGUUGCAGUGAGCCAAGAUUGUGCCACUGCACUCCAGCCUGGGUGACAGAGUGAGACUCUGUCUCAA
This 148-nucleotide non-coding RNA is filed under the name Pan troglodytes (chimpanzee). Lineage: Eukaryota; Metazoa; Chordata; Mammalia; Primates; Hominidae. The record is from Rfam by way of RNAcentral.